This 253-nucleotide ribosomal RNA is filed under the name uncultured bacterium. RNAcentral's name for it is "partial 16S ribosomal RNA". It matches the Rfam family "Bacterial small subunit ribosomal RNA", at positions 524 to 776 of the family's 1533-position model. The record is from RNAcentral.
UACGUAGGGGGCAAGCGUUGUCCGGAAUCAUUGGGCGUAAAGCGCGUGUAGGCGGCCCGGUAAGUCCGCUGUGAAAGUCCAGGGCUCAACCCUGGGAUGCCGGUGGAUACUGUCGGGCUCGAGUCCGGAAGAGGCGAGUGGAAUUCCUGGUGUAGCGGUGAAAUGCGCAGAUAUCAGGAGGAACACCAAUGGCGAAGGCAGCUCGCUGGGACGUGACUGACGCUGAGACGCGAAAGCGUGGGGAGCGAACAGG